RNAcentral lists this ribosomal RNA (487 nucleotides) under uncultured eukaryote. RNAcentral's name for it is "bacterial SSU rRNA". It matches the Rfam family "Eukaryotic small subunit ribosomal RNA", at positions 319 to 806 of the family's 1831-position model. The record is from RNAcentral.
CUCGAGACGGCGGGGUAGAGGCCCGCCGCGGUAACGACGGGUAACGGGGAAUCAGGGUUCGAUUCCGGAGAGGGAGCCCGAGAAACGGCUACCACUUCCAAGGAAGGCAGCAGGCGCGCAACUUACCCUAAUCUCGAUUCGAGGAGGUAGUGACAAGAAAUACCGAUGCGGGACCCUACGGGUGCCGCGUUCGGAAUGAGUACGAUUCGAACCACCUAACGAGGAACGAUCGGAGGGCAAGUCUGGUGCCAGCAGCCGCGGUAAUUCCAGCUCCAAUAGCGUACGUUAAAGUUGCUGCAGUUAAAAAGCUCGUAGUUGAACGUCCGGGUUCCGCGGGACGGGGCCGCCCCGCGAGGGACGGCGCCGCCCUGGGGCCCGUGGGAUCCGAUCUCGCCGCCCGUCGCGAGGCGGACGGAGGGACGGAUGAGGUUACCUGGAAAAAAAUCGGGGCGAUCUAGGCGGGCGAACCUCGCCAACGAACGAUAGG